Molecule: non-coding RNA, 620 nt
Organism: Nicotiana tabacum (common tobacco)
Lineage: Eukaryota; Viridiplantae; Streptophyta; Magnoliopsida; Solanales; Solanaceae
Source: RefSeq, a predicted model, not a curated record
GCGGCGAUUCCAAAAAUGGAAAAAAAGAACACCAUCCGUUUCAGCAGCUAAAGUUUUUUAGCCAUUUUGAUUUUCUCGUACACAAGACCAAAAGGAGACCCAAAAAUCGAGAUGGCCAUUCUUGAAUUCUCAAAACACACAUACGACAAAGAAUAUAAGCUUUUCUGAAGAACAAAAACUGAUAUGGCCAUUCUUCAAUUUUGUACAUAGACACUAUUCUGAUCUACACCGAAAUCUGAGGCAUCCGUCGAGGUCGCCGUCGAGGUACUCAUUCGACCUCAAAUGACAUGUUGAAAUGGAAAUGGGAAUGUUGAUGAUACCAUGUUUUACGGUAGUCUAUUUCUGAUUAUUAGGUUUUGUACUCAUGUGCUCCUUGUUAAUUAACUUAUGGCUAUUUACCUCGUCCAGAUUUUGGUUUAGGCAUUUGAACAAAUUCAUUACAUGUUACUGUAUUUUGGUAGAUGAUUCGAGUGGUUGUAAUACUCUAUUAAAGCCCAUGUUUAGUUUCAAUGUUGAUUAGUAGUAAUUCUGACUUUAAGAUGCAUAAGAUUGGCUGUUCUUUGAGCAUGAAGUAUGCUAUGUUACAAUACAGGAAAAUCUCUUACUUGAUUUAAGUGAAA